ACUAACAAGAAAUGAGUUGCGCUUUGCCCAUUAGGUUAAGUACUCCUUUGUUGAUUUAUUUUUGAGUCGAAACGACGCAUUUUCUAUAGGAUAUUUUUGCGUCAAAUGUUAGAAUGAUUGUGAAUUUUAGAUGAAUCGGACAGAACCCGGAAGGAAGUGGUCAUGGUGUUUUUAAGCGGUUAUCCCACCAUUUGUCUGAAGUGAGAACCCUGAAGCCCUUCAGUAUUGCCGUUCUCCGGACAGAGAUUUGAACAUGGGACCCCACCUAAUAGAAGCAGGAGUGCUACCCUCUCUACUACCACGCUGUAUAAUUUAUUCAUAAAUCAAUAUCAGACACGCACUUUUCGUUUUCUGAAAAAGAAAAUACAAAAAAAAAAAAGACGAAGUGAAUAUGACCGUUCGUUCUGUAAAUUGCUACCUUACAGUAUUAUAUGUUUCCCUCCGGCGAGGGAAAUGUGUGUCCUUAAUGUUAGCACGGUGAAGGAAGGAUCAGAGUACUUCUUUUCUCCCCUAUCCUCAUGGACAACUGUGUUAAACACAUAAUAAUAAAAUGAUGCAGUCUGUAUUCCACAAGACUUGUACAAUUUUCAUUAAGUGCUAAAUUCAAGGCUUUAAAAAAUAAACCAUCGGAAUAAUAGAUGAUCAAGGGAAUACUGAGAGGAAACAGUUGACAUGCAACUGGGUGGUUUCACCUUUCAUGUAUUAGUCAAGAGAUUCACCUGCCUUGUGUUCUUAGCAUAAAACUGUAGUUUACUACCGUGGCCUUGAUGUCGCCUGUGACUGUCUUACGUCACUCCUACUCCCCAGUCUACCCCUCCAAGCGGGAACAAGCCAUUUGGUGGAGUUCUGUUUGCAUAUCUGUAGUGUUUCUGAGUCCCACGUUAUAAUAUUGUGAUAUUCAGUGAUAUAGUGCAACUUGUUCAUGUACUGAUUUUACAUCCUUGCAGCAAUUGGAUCACGGAAGUUAAAUGUGUUUCCUUUCUCCAAGAUAGAAAGCAGUUUUUUUCUUUUUCAGACAAAGAACUUGCAUAUUACAGAAUCUCACCACGACAUGGUGAUUACGUGGAGACUGCCUGUAUAUGAUUUGCAGAAGCAGAUGAUGUAGAAGUCCUCAGCAAUAAAAGAGGCCGUGAUCAUAAAAUGAAGAAUCUCUAUACACCUGUGACUGCGUCUCAGAAAAAUCAUAUUUGCUGUGGCGGACUUGUGGUAACAAUUGGGUUGCCCUCCAGCUGCUCCUGUCGCAACCCGGAAGUAGGGUUACCAGCCCUCACUGCCAAUGCAUUAUCGAGCAACGUAAAAAGACUGAUAAAAGAGGGACUUCAGAUGAGUUACUUGUAUUUUUUGGGGUAUUGAUUAUGUUGAGGGGCUUUAUGUUUUUUGAGUUAGGAAUUAAUAUUUUGUGAUGUAAUUAAACAAAAUGAGUAAUGGCAUUGAAGUGGGAAAGGAACUGACAUAAAUGUAAUGACUCAUGAAACGAAAUCAAUAUUUUUGUUGUAUGGUACGGUCCUCUUCCUGAUACUUGAGUACGGAAUCUUCAGUAGCUCACAGUGACCUGCCAUUUAUGUAGAAAUCUAGGAUACAAAGGGUAAAAGCUGUACUGGCUAUUCUGGUGUCCAAUGAUCUGUGCACGUCUGCCUGCUGUGUAGCGGUUCGUAAGUAGAGUGUUCAGGGCACGGCUUGUGCAUGGGCAAUAGAGGUGGGGACUUCUAGGCAGAGGGUCUAAGUAAGGCUGGUUGAUUAUCUAGGUAGAGUCAGAUCAGUUUUAGUAUAUGGGAUGCUGUGCAGAUGGACCCAUGCACGGAGGUGAGUGGAUUAGCUUAGCUGUUGCUCCCAGUUAAGAAGAAGUAGGAUAGAUUGAUAGUUUUUGGGGGAGUUUUCGUGUAAUUGUUAAUGUAUUUUGCCAGGUGUUGAGAGAAAACAGAGAGGUGUUGCUCUCCCACGUACAAAAGGCUGUCAUGAAGGAGUGCCUCAAUCAUUGCUGUGAGUUCUUUGGGUGUAGCAUUGUAGUAGAAUGGUAUAAAUUGCUGGUGUUGAAUAACAUCUUGCCACUUUCUUUUUAUUAAUUUUUUAUUUUUGGCUUGAUGUUGCAACAUAAGCAAGCAAUACCAUUUUGACAUGGAACUGUACCUGAGAUGCUGUUAAUGGACCCAGGACAGUCUUCCCCACUGCCGGACAAUUGGGAGGAUCCCAGUGACCGUGGAGUGUGAGAGGAACCAUAUAUAUAUAUAUAAAUAAGUAGGAGAUCGGAAUAUGCUACCGACACUGUAACGGGAACUAUCAACCAUUGAAUGUAAGUUGCAUUUAGUUUUCUCAGGUUAUUUAUCAACUUUCGUGUGGGCUUGGUAUAUACUGUAAAAAUAACGUCGAGGUAGAAGAAGCCACCGACGCCGAAAAUGAAGUAUUAGAAUAUUUUGAACGAUAUGCAGAUGGCAGGGAGAUCUGGGGCCUCAAUCAAUAGAAAAAUUCACGUGGCAGCCAUUGUGUGUGCAAAUUGUAGCAGUGUCAUUAGUGGUAACAUUUUCAAGGAUGUUAAUGAAAUUACAGGCAAUUCUCGGUUUACGAACGAGUUCCGUUCCAAGACGUUGUUCGUUAUACGUUUUUGUUCGUUAUGUGUAUCUUGCAUCCUAAGCUUUUACGAUACGAUUGAGUAAACAAGACAGUAUUAUGUAAGGAAAUUGUUUCUCUGUGGUAGUAUUAAGAUGGUUCUGAACCCACAGACCCUGUGCCACAUGUGGCCCACACACAUUUUUUUUAAUACUGUGUAAUUUUAUAUGAUGAAAAAUAGUUAACCAGAUAUCAGAAAACAAAAUUUGUGAAUGUUGUCAGUGUUUAACAGUAACUAUUACUGUGAACAAGACAUCAAAGCAAGGAACUAGGCUGUGUCUUAACUGAUUAACACCUGAAGGGACGCAUGCAUAUCACAACAACAGAAAUUAAACUGAUGUUAAAAGAUUACUCAAGCAAAGGCAGUAACAAGUAUCUCAUUAAGGAGUGAUAUUUUUAAGGAAAAUUUAGUAAUAUGUUAACCUCUGCAUCAGGAAGUUGGUAGUAUUUGUAAUAAACACCAUUGAAUCUGCAGGUAUAUAGGCAAGGAAAUGUGGCAUUUGGUCUGAUAAAGUUUGAGAACCCCUGAGAUAUAAGUUUUUGAAUGUCAGUUUAGAUCACAUUAUUGUAAAUUCCUUUGCAUGUGAAGACAUUCUUUUGCAUCCUAUUAAUUACAUCUGAACCCCUUAUCUGAUUGUUGUGUUGCCAUGGAAGGUUCUUACUAAAGAUUAUUGACAAAAUAUGAAUGUAGUUUGUGUUGACCGACUGGAACUUUACUCAGUGGGCUGAUCAGAGCAUUUAGUUUGGGGGGGGGGGGGCAAUUAUAAGCCAUACACAAUUGUAGUCGAGAACUAGAGCAAACCAGAAUUUUUCCAUGGACUGGACAGACAUUGAUGAUGCCAUAAAAUUGUCAGUGAACAUAAUUUAAGUCGGCCAUCUUUUAUUUUAAUAAUGGGAAUGUUUUUCCCUUGUUAUUUAGUGUGUAAUUUGUAUGCAUCAAGUCAAAUUGAAUAGUCCUGGAUAUACAGGCCAUUGCAGAGUUUGUGUGACAUUUGUAUGGAGAGAGUCCCAUGACAUAGUGUGUAAUUCAACUACAUUCAGGGUAGUUUGUUAGAAGUCAGAAAUAAAGAGUAAAGUGACUAAAUAGCAAAAAUGCCUAUUGCAUAUUUUUGACUUGUAGUAACUGUCCAUUAAUGUAGGUGAAGUAUCACCUGUAUGUCAGGACAUACUAUAUACUGUUGGUUCUUAAUCUUGCUGACUCAUGGGAAUGGUGAAAGAAUGCUAGAUUUUCCAAGGGCAGGUGUUAUGUGCAUCUCACAUAAUGCAGUGUAGAUGGUAGUGUAACACAUGUAGACUUCAUACAGGCCUUAUGUGGUAUCAAGGUCAAAGGGAUGUCAUAAUUAUGCACAUUGAACAUUUCAGUUAAAAAUCAUGGUUAAGGUAAUGUGAAAUAAUUUGUCAGACAUGUGUAUUCCAAGAAUUAACAACACUCAGCUUUUUUAUUUCUCAUGGGGCAGCAACUGACUCCAAAACUGUGUUCUCUUCAUAUUUAUUCCUCUGUUCAUGUCAGUAAACAUCCCUGAGAUAU
Non-coding RNA from Zootermopsis nevadensis, 4132 nucleotides. The record is from RefSeq and is a predicted model, not a curated record. NCBI's taxonomy places the organism in Eukaryota, Metazoa, Arthropoda, Insecta, Blattodea, Termopsidae.